This is a transfer RNA of Ipomoea nil (Japanese morning glory), 73 nucleotides long. It matches the Rfam family "tRNA". Rfam says of the family: Transfer RNA (tRNA) molecules are approximately 80 nucleotides in length. Their secondary structure includes four short double-helical elements and three loops (D, anti-codon, and T loops). Further hydrogen bonds mediate the characteristic L-shaped molecular structure. tRNAs have two regions of fundamental functional importance: the anti-codon, which is responsible for specific mRNA codon recognition, and the 3' end, to which the tRNAs corresponding amino acid is attached (by aminoacyl-tRNA synthetases). tRNAs cope with the degeneracy of the genetic code in two manners: having more than one tRNA (with a specific anti-codon) for a particular amino acid; and 'wobble' base-pairing, i.e. permitting non-standard base-pairing at the 3rd anti-codon position. Lineage: Eukaryota; Viridiplantae; Streptophyta; Magnoliopsida; Solanales; Convolvulaceae. The record is from Rfam.
GGGGGUGUAGCUCAUAUGGUAGAGUGCUCGCAUCGCAUGCGAGAGGUAAGGGUUUUAAUUCCUCGCACCUCCA